GGUGUAUACCACAGUUUGAUCUCGAGGUGAGGCCAUGCAUUGUUGUCAUUUUGACCUGAUGCAUGAACUAAGUUUUUAUGUUUUGGGGUGGAGGAGCUUAAUCUCGAGAAACUACCACAGAGCUCUAAAUAUCACUCGGAAGUCAGCAAGUGAUUGAAAACAGACAGAAGACCAAAAUGAGAGGGACCGGGCCAAAGACUGGAAGAUUACCAGAAAGGAUCCUCUCCGAUAUAUCAGAUAACAUGCUGUCUGUCUGCCAAAUGAAGGCUGGAAACAAAUAUAUUGUGUAAAGGGAGCUCCCAAAGAUCCACAAAGGUCAUUUCAGCAUCACUAUUUUCCAUUAAA
Long non-coding RNA from Nerophis ophidion (straightnose pipefish), 345 nucleotides. RefSeq lists it as uncharacterized. NCBI's taxonomy places the organism in Eukaryota, Metazoa, Chordata, Actinopteri, Syngnathiformes, Syngnathidae. The record is from RefSeq and is a predicted model, not a curated record. The transcript is spliced from 3 exons.